UUUUACUCUCAAAGAAGACAAGGACCAGUUCUAGUUAGGCUUGAUCGAGUUAAGGGGUCUUUAGGCACUAAAAGAAGGCGCUGGAACUGCUGUCUCAUUUACUCGCCGAUUUAGUUUAAAAAGAGAAUCAUUCUGAGGCUCUAUCACAUGAUACUAGUAGUUCUUCUGCUAUGCUCAAUACUUCAGGUAUGGGUGAUGGGGACGAAGAGCAGCCAUUUUGUGCAUAGAUAUUCGAUCGGCUAUUGGGAAACAUACAUUAGUGUGAGUGUGGUAUGGUUGACUGAAGGAUGAUCAGUUACAGACAGGUAUUCUUUGUUAGUAUUAUUAUUAUUAUUACUAUUAUUAUCAACAUCAUCAAAACUAUUCAUAAUUUUAGAUCGUCAUGUGAUUUGUGCUGAAUUUUGAUUCAAUGCCAGUUGUGAGUCCUGUAAUCGUAACUCAAGUUUAUUAGGCACUAGAUACAGAAGCUCGUACUAGCAUUUUUCUUGUGCUGGUAUAUUACCAUCACAGUACUGCCAUAUUUUUGUCGGCAUCACUGGGCACAGUUGGGAAGAGGU
Amphimedon queenslandica is the source of this 557-nucleotide long non-coding RNA. RefSeq lists it as uncharacterized. The transcript has 3 exons. NCBI's taxonomy places the organism in Eukaryota, Metazoa, Porifera, Demospongiae, Haplosclerida, Niphatidae. The record is from RefSeq and is a predicted model, not a curated record.